GCGAGCGGCGGAUGGGUGAGUAACACGUGGGGAACCUGCCCCUAAGUCUGGGAUACCAUUUGGAAACAGGUGCUAAUACCGGAUAAUAAAGCAGAUCGCAUGAUCAGCUUUUGAAAGGCGGCGUAAGCUGUCGCUAAGGGAUGGCCCCGCGGUGCAUUAGCUAGUUGGUAAGGUAACGGCUUACCAAGGCGACGAUGCAUAGCCGAGUUGAGAGACUGAUCGGCCACAUUGGGACUGAGACACGGCCCAAACUCCUACGGGAGGCAGCAGUAGGGAAUCUUCCACAAUGGACGCAAGUCUGAUGGAGCAACGCCGCGUGAGUGAAGAAGGUUUUCGGAUCGUAAAGCUCUGUUGUUGGUGAAGAAGGAUAGAGGUAGUAACUGGCCUUUAUUUGACGGUAAUCAACCAGAAAGUCACGGCUAACUACGUGCCAGCAGCCGCGGUAAUACGUAGGUGGCAAGCGUUGUCCGGAUUUAUUGGGCGUAAAGCGAGCGCAGGCGGAAAAAUAAGUCUAAUGUGAAAGCCCUCGGCUUAACCGAGGAACUGCAUCGGAAACUGUUUCUCUUGAGUGCAGAAAGAGGAGAGUGGAACUCCAUGUGUAGCGGUGGAAUGCGUAGAUAUAUGGGAAGAACCACCAGUGGCGAAGGCGGCUCUCUGGUCUGCAACUGA
Molecule: ribosomal RNA, 669 nt
Filed under: uncultured bacterium
Lineage: Bacteria
Description: bacterial SSU rRNA
Rfam family: Bacterial small subunit ribosomal RNA
Source: RNAcentral